UGGUGGAGUGAUGUCUGGUUAAUUCCAUUAAUGAAUAAGACCUCUGCCUGAAAAAUAAUCUGGUGAGUGUUUUACACUGGUUGUGGCUUCUUAGAGUGACAUGCAUUUCAAAAAGUUGCAGGAAGAUAGGGGAAUAACA
RNAcentral lists this ribosomal RNA (139 nucleotides) under uncultured eukaryote. RNAcentral describes it as "partial 18S ribosomal RNA". The record is from RNAcentral.